AGAAAGUUCAAGAAAAUAAGAUGUUUUGGCCUGGAAAAGAGAAGAUAUAAUAGACACAGUUGGCCUUAAAAUAUUUGGAGGAGUCUUCAGUAGAAAAAUGAGACAUUCAAGUACAAAGGACAAACUAGGACCAGUGUGGGUCAAUUCCUGCCAGGGCUUCAUCAUCUCUGAUGAAUGAUGAAUGAGCGCUCAUUGCUCCCUAAUUUUGCCUCAUUUCUUACCAUCCCUGCUUUGAUGCCCAUUUCACCAACUGGGAGAGGUCCCUCCUAAUGUGGUAAAUGAUAUUCAACCGGAGGAAGAGCCUGGGGAACAAAUCAACUCAAACCCCACCUGAGACCUCAGAGAGGAUGAGAUAAAGAGAAAUAUGGGAUCCACACCCUGCUCAGAACAUGAAACCCCAUAACUCCGGAAUGCCUGGCAGGAGUGACUUUUCUGAGAAUGGAGCCUGGGACAGCCACCCAACGUGCUGAGUGGAGGUGGCUAAGGACAUUUCCAGCCCAGCAGUCGUCAUGGUUCAUGCGUUGUGGACCUCCGCUUUGGAGUCGAUUGACGUCACCUCCUAGUUCUGCCCCUAGGUUCUGUAAGACCAUCACUGAACCUUCCGGCCCCUUCCCUGGAGACGGAGUAGGUUCUGGAAACCUUCGGGUACCUAUGAUUCCAGGGCAGCAGGCAGAGUACUGGAGGGCGAUCGGGGCUGUGUUGCCCACACCUGAGGCCCAGACUCCACACACACUGCACCAUUUCUCUCCCAUAGUCAACCAUUCUUGAGGUUGCUUCCCUGUGGGGGACUCAGCCCAGUGCUAAGUCCCUCCUUUUUCAUUCUGCCUAAGCCCCUUCCUUCCAGCUCUGCCUUUUCUCCAUCAGCCCCUCAACUCAUCCUUGAUCCCCUCCUCCCGCUCAGCACCUGGGGCUGGGACAGCUCCCCAGGGACGCCCAUAGUCUCAGAGCAUCUGCCCAGCUCCUCAACUGGUAUGAACUGGAGAGUGUGGGUCAGCCUGACAGUUGCUCCUGCCAGGCCUGUGACCUCUAGAAUCCAUCCCUUCUCUCUCCACUCAUGCUCUGGGCCAG
This 1068-nucleotide long non-coding RNA is filed under the name Equus asinus (donkey). RNAcentral's name for it is "lncRNA (ENSEASG00005037215.1)". Lineage: Eukaryota; Metazoa; Chordata; Mammalia; Perissodactyla; Equidae. The record is from RNAcentral.